RNAcentral lists this ribosomal RNA (253 nucleotides) under uncultured bacterium. RNAcentral describes it as "partial 16S ribosomal RNA". It matches the Rfam family "Bacterial small subunit ribosomal RNA", at positions 524 to 776 of the family's 1533-position model. The record is from RNAcentral.
UACGUAGGGGGCAAGCGUUGUCCGGAUUUAUUGGGCGUAAAAAGCGUGUAGGCGGCUUUGCAAGUCCGUUGUGAAAACUCGAGGCUCAACCUCGAGACGCCGGUGGAAACUGCAAAGCUAGAGUCCGGAAGAGGAGAGUGGAAUUCCUGGUGUAGCGGUGAAAUGCGCAGAUAUCAGGAAGAACACCCGUGGCGAAGGCGGCUCUCUGGGACGGUACUGACGCUGAGACGCGAAAGCGUGGGGAGCGAACAGG